AAUAGAUACCCUGGUAGUCCACGCCGUAAACGAUGAGUGCUAAGUGUUAGAGGGUUUCCGCCCUUUAGUGCUGCAGCUAACGCAUUAAGCACUCCGCCUGGGGAGUACGGUCGCAAGACUGAAACUCAAAGGAAUUGACGGGGGCCCGUACAAGCGGUGGAGCAUGUGGUUUAAUUCGAAGCAACGCGAAGAACCUUACCAGGUCUUGACAUCCCACUGACCGGUAUAGAGAUAUACCCUUUCCCUUCGGGGACAGUGGUGACAGGUGGUGCAUGGUUGUCGUCAGCUCGUGUCGUGAGAUGUUGGGUUAAGUCCCGCAACGAGCGCAACCCUUGAUCUUAGUUGCCAGCAUUUAGUUGGGCACUCUAAGGUGACUGCCGGUGACAAACCGGAGAAAGGUGGGGAUGACGUCAAAUCAUCAUGCCCCUUAUGACCUGGGCUACACACGUGCUACAAUGGAUGGUACAAAGGGCUGCAAGACUGCGAAGUCAAGCCAAUCCCAAUAAAACCAUUCUCAGUUCGGAUUGCAGG
Molecule: ribosomal RNA, 531 nt
Filed under: uncultured bacterium
Lineage: Bacteria
Description: bacterial SSU rRNA
Rfam family: Bacterial small subunit ribosomal RNA
Source: RNAcentral